RNAcentral lists this ribosomal RNA (292 nucleotides) under uncultured Alteromonadales bacterium. RNAcentral describes it as "partial 16S ribosomal RNA". It matches the Rfam family "Bacterial small subunit ribosomal RNA", at positions 1098 to 1395 of the family's 1533-position model. The record is from RNAcentral. Lineage: Bacteria; Pseudomonadati; Pseudomonadota; Gammaproteobacteria; Alteromonadales.
GCAACCCCUAUCCUUAUUUGCCAGCGUUAUGGGGAACUCUAAGGAGACUGCCGGUGAUAAACCGGAGGAAGGUGGGGACGACGUCAAGUCAUCAUGGCCCUUAGGGUGGGCUACACACGUGCUACAAUGGCAAGUACAGAGGGCAGCAAUACCGCGAGGUGGAGCGAAUCCCACAAAGCUUGUCGUAGUCCGGAUUGGAGUCUGCAACUCGACUCCAUGAAGUCGGAAUCGCUAGUAAUCGUAGAUCAGAAUGCUACGGUGAAUACGUUCCCGGGCCUUGUACACACCGCCC